GACCAAGUAGUAUCAUGUUCCAUAUACUUCAAUACGUGCAACUGAAUACUUAUUAAGUAAAUGUACACAAAAAGUAUUGAAUGAAAUACCUCCAUACCUGGUAGUCAGGUUACACAAUGACAAUGGAGAAAAAGAUACCCACGUGACACACUUGAGAUCGGUGUAAUGACGACUGUGCUGUUGGUCUAGACCCGGGAGAUAAUAUACACAAGACUAUAAAUCGGUUGACAAUCAUGAUUGGUACUCGCUGACACGACUUUGGACUUUGCCACUUCAGAGCUGUGCAUGUUGCACCUUCAUGUAAUGAUGCCAUCUCGAGGCUGUAUAAACUGUACAUUGUGACAUAUCUUUUUAGACCUGCCACUUCAGAGCUGUGCAUGUUGCACUUUCAUGUAAUGAUGCCAUCUCGAGGCUGUGUCUUUUUAGAUCUGCCACUUCAGAGCUGUGUAUGUUGCACCUUCUUGUUAUGAUGCC
This 474-nucleotide long non-coding RNA is filed under the name Mytilus galloprovincialis (Mediterranean mussel). The record is from RNAcentral. Lineage: Eukaryota; Metazoa; Mollusca; Bivalvia; Mytilida; Mytilidae.